Molecule: ribosomal RNA, 798 nt
Filed under: Langeronia macrocirra
Lineage: Eukaryota; Metazoa; Platyhelminthes; Trematoda; Plagiorchiida; Pleurogenidae
Description: partial large subunit ribosomal RNA
Rfam family: Eukaryotic large subunit ribosomal RNA
Source: RNAcentral
GUGGUGUUCAGGUUGUUCCGCAAAGGUACUGCUCCACCCUAAGUCCAUAAAUGAGUACGGUGGUACGGACAUGGCCCACAGAGGGUGAAAGGCCCGUGGGGGUGGAGACCAGGUAGGCCAGUAUCUUUCUGGAUAGACCUUGGAGUCGGGUUGUUUGUGAAUGCAGCCCAAAGUGGGUGGUAAACUCCAUCCAAGGCUAAAUACAAGCACGAGUCCGAUAGCGAACAAGUACCGUGAGGGAAAGUUGAAAAGUACUUUGAAGAGAGAGUAAACAGUGCGUGAAACCGGUCAGAGGUAAACGGGUGGAGUUGAACUGCAAGCUCUGGGAAUUCAGCUGGUGAGUGUGGCUGGAGCUUGGCUAAUAUGUUGAGCCCUGGAGUCUGCGUAGCAGCAGGCCUUUGCCCCUUGUGGGUGAGGGUGCGCGAUGCACUUACCAAGUGUUGUGCGCUCUGGGUGUUCAUCGAGCUGACUCGCCAGUGCACUUUCUCAGAGUGGUCAUCACGACCGGCACCGCUGUCUGGCUGGUGUGGUUAAACCGAUCUCGUAUUGUCCUUGUGGCUCUGCUUGGUCGGGAUGGCAGGUAGCUCGGUGAUUUGCCUGUGAUCUUCGGUCGCGGGCGCUGGUCAUUGAGUGUAACUGGCUGACCACAUUGGUUCUGUGCAGUGUGUCGGAGACGGCGGCUUUUGUGUGUGCGCGCGUGCCUGUCUGGCCGGCGUGUCCGGGUUUGGUCGUUUGUGCCUGUUCACGCAGGCCUGGCGAUGGCUCGGGUUCGUUCGGUUGGCGGUUGCGUGCGUGGCA